UCCUGCCAGUGAUCAUAUUCUUCGAUUAAAGACUAAGCCAUGCAUGUCCAAGAUCAUCUAGGUUAAUAAGGAAUCUGCGUAUGGCUCAUUAAAUGAAUUAUUACUUCCCCCAGCACUAUUUCACAAUUGGAUAACCGUUGUAAUUCAAGGGCUAAUCAUGCAUGAAAAAUAGCUUAGUAAUAGGCUAUUGCAUUUGUUAGUUACAAACCAACAUCUUUUUAGGUGAAUCAUGACAAAUUGCGGAUCCUUAUGUUGUAAAAAACGAAGGACGACUGGGUCAGGUCUUUCCCCUAUCAGUUUUCGUAGGAAAUGUAUUGAAUUUUCUAGACUUUGACGGGUAACGAAAAAUAAGGGUUUGAUUUCGGAGAAGGAGCCUGAGAGACGGCUACUACAUCUAAGGAAGGCAGCAGGCGCGCAAAUUUCCCAAUGCUCAUCGAGCGAGGAAGUGACGAUCAAUAACAAUGUGCGACUCUUUAUGGGUUGUGCAAUUGGAAUGACUACAAUUUAAAGAGUUUAAGAAGGAUCAAUUGGAGGGCAAGUCUGGUGCCAGCAGCCGCGGUAAUUCCAGCUCCAAUAGGAUAUAUCAAAGUUGUUGCAGUUAAAAAGCUCGUAGUUGAAUUUCUGGGAAGAUUUUGAUGUUGUUUCUAGUCAAGGAGCAAUCCUUGCUAGUUAAAUGACCGCUUUCCAUAUUGUGGGUUUCUACUUUGUAAAUGGGUUUACUCUUGUUUAUAAAGUACCACUCCGUCACUGAGAGCAAAUUGGAGUGCUCAAAGCAGGCUUUAUAGCUUUGAACAUUUUAGCUUGGAAUGACAAGAUAUGACUUUUGUUUUAUUUUGUUGGUUAUGAAAUGAAAGUAAUGAUUAACAGGAACAGUUGCGGGGGUACUCGUAUUGAAAGGUCAGAGGUGAAAUUCUUGGAUUCUUUCAAGACGAACGACUGCGAAAGCAUUUACCAAGGAUGUUUUCAUUAAUCAAGAACGAAAGCUCGGGGAUCGAAGAUGAUUAGAUACCAUCGUAGUCCGACGCCAUAAACGAUGCCGACUCGGGAUUGUAUUGUAGUCUAACUUAACAAUGACUCAAUGCAGCACCGUAUGAGAAAUCAAAGUCUUUGGGUUCCGGGGGGAGUAUGGUCGCAAGGCUGAAACUUAAAG
Molecule: ribosomal RNA, 1150 nt
Filed under: uncultured soil eukaryote
Lineage: Eukaryota
Description: SSU rRNA
Rfam family: Eukaryotic small subunit ribosomal RNA
Source: RNAcentral